RNAcentral lists this ribosomal RNA (407 nucleotides) under Chanea sp. Its description in RNAcentral is "partial large subunit ribosomal RNA". It matches the Rfam family "Bacterial large subunit ribosomal RNA", at positions 1850 to 2592 of the family's 2925-position model. RNAcentral also lists the same sequence under 1 other name. The record is from RNAcentral. Lineage: Eukaryota; Metazoa; Arthropoda; Arachnida; Araneae; Mysmenidae.
UUGUAAGGCCUGCUCAAUGAAAAUUAAAUAGCCGCAGAAAUUUAACUGUGCUAAGGUAGCAUAAUCAUUAGAUUUUUAAUUAAAAUCUGGAAUGAAAGGAUUAACCUUUAAUAACUUUCCUAAAAUAUAAUUUUCAAAUUAUAAUAAAAAUAAAAAUAUUUUUAUAAUUAAAAAAGACGACAAGACCCUAUUGAACUUAACUUAAGUUAAGCUGGGGCAGCUUAUUAAAAAAAAUUUUAAUAUAAAUAUUUAUAUAAAUACCUAAUAUUAUUAAAUUAAACAAGUUACCAUAGGGAUAACAGCGUAAUUUUUUAAAAAAGUUCUUAUCUAAUAAAAAGAUUGCGACCUCGAUGUUGAAUUAUAUCCCUUUUAAAGCAAAAUUAAAUAAAGGGGGUCGUCGACCCAAA